AUUGAACGCUGGCGGCAGGCCUAAAACAUGCAAGUCGAACGGUAACAGGAAGAAGCUUGCUUCUUUGCUGACGAGUGGCGGACGGGUGAGGAAUGUCUGGGAAACUGCCUGAUGGAGGGGGAUAACUACUGGAAACGGUAGCUAAUACCGCAUAACGUCGCAAGACCAAAGAGGGGGACCUUCGGGCCCCUUGCCAUCGGAUGUGCCCAGAUGGGAUUAGCUAGUAGGGGGGGUAACGGCUCACCUAGGCGACGAUCCCUAGCUGGUCUGAGAGGAUGACCAGCCACACUGGAACUGAGACACGGUCCAGACUCCUACGGGAGGCAGCAGUGGGGAAUAUUGCACAAUGGGCGCAAGCCUGAUGCAGCCAUGCCGCGUGUAUGAAGAAGGCCUUCGGGUUGUAAAGUACUUUCAGCGGGGAGGAAGGGAGUAAAGUUAAUACCUUUGCUCAUUGACGUUACCCGCAGAAGAAGCACCGGCUAACUCCGUG
Molecule: ribosomal RNA, 490 nt
Filed under: uncultured bacterium
Lineage: Bacteria
Description: partial 16S ribosomal RNA
Rfam family: Bacterial small subunit ribosomal RNA
Source: RNAcentral